AUACGUAGGGGGCGAGCGUUGUCCGGAAUGAUUGGGCGUAAAGGGCGCGUAGGCGGCGCGGUAAGUCUGGAGUGAAAGUCCUGCUUUCAAGGUGGGAAUUGCUUUGGAUACUGCCGCGCUUGAGUGCAGGAGAGGUUAUCGGAAUUCCAGGUGUAGAGGUGAAAUGCGUAGAGAUCGGGAGGAACACCAGUGGCGAAGGCGGGUAACUGGACUGCAACUGACGCUGAGGCGCGAAAGUGUGGGGAGCAAACAGGAUUAGAUACCCUGGUAGUCCACACUGUAAACGAUGAAUGCUAGGUGUAAGAGGUAUCGACCCCUUUUGUGCCGGAGUCAACACAAUAAGCAUUCCGCCUGGGGAGUACGGCCGCAAGGUUGAAACUUAAAGGAAUUGACGGGG
RNAcentral lists this ribosomal RNA (397 nucleotides) under uncultured bacterium. RNAcentral describes it as "partial 16S ribosomal RNA". It matches the Rfam family "Bacterial small subunit ribosomal RNA", at positions 523 to 918 of the family's 1533-position model. The record is from RNAcentral.